AUAUUAUUAGUGUGUUGUCCUUGGGGAUAAGUGGAUACUUAGAAAGAUAAAUGAACUCCAGACACAUUGAAAGGGGUUUACUGAAGAAGAAUGCCUGCUAAGGUCAAUUUAAUUCUUGGACCCACUUUGGAUUUAUUUCUUGGACCCACUUUGGAAAAAUCACUAAAAAGGAUGACUCAGCCAGGGAAAUGAUUGUCAUUCCAACAGCAUGAACAGCAAACAAAGUAUGUUGUGCAAGCUUAGGCCAACACUGUUUCAAAACAGGCAUGAAAAUCUUUGACUAAAAAAGGGUAACAUGGCC
Molecule: long non-coding RNA, 301 nt
Organism: Callithrix jacchus (white-tufted-ear marmoset)
Lineage: Eukaryota; Metazoa; Chordata; Mammalia; Primates; Cebidae
Source: RefSeq, a predicted model, not a curated record